Molecule: long non-coding RNA, 903 nt
Filed under: Heterocephalus glaber (naked mole-rat)
Lineage: Eukaryota; Metazoa; Chordata; Mammalia; Rodentia; Bathyergidae
Description: lncRNA (ENSHGLG00000035423.1)
Source: RNAcentral
AAACACUGUGGUAAUCGCGCUGGGUGGGUUAGGGUCUUGUUUUCUGUAAAAUGGCCGAAUGAAUUAAUUUUUCCUACGGUACUUUCACACUCCUGGCCUGAUUCCUUCCAACAACCCCUCAAAGCAGAGACAGGUCCUCCUGAUCAUGACUGCUUGAGUGUCACUGAUGAGCUCUUUUCCAGCCGCCCUGACUUGCAAAUGACACCCUUGUUCAAUGCUGACCUCGUUCUGUUCACGGAUGGGAGCAGCUUCAUGGAAGAUCUGGUUCAUCAUGCUGGAUAUGCGGACAUCAGAAAGGCAAAGACUUCAUUGCACAAGGUAAAAAUAGAGCUGAUGCUGAAAGCCGAGAAAGACAACGCACUCAAAGCCCUGCUCUCACCACUCCGGAGGCUGGUGAGUCAACGCACGGCUGAAGAAUGGAAGCACCAACAAGGACGACAUGGAUUAUUGUGCUGUGCCAGAUCACCACUGCCUUAAGUUUCUUUGUUUUCCAACUGUGGGUGUUUAGGCCUAGCUAUGAAAAGUUUGAUGAACAAUAUGUGACUUUUAAAACGGUAAAAUGGGAACCGGAAGGCUAUCCAUUUACAAUAUUCUUUGAUAAAAACAUUAUAGAGGACCUCGGGUAACUUCUGACUGUGGGGAGCUAUUCUAAUGAAAAAUUAUAUUGCAAAGAGAAAACACAAGUUUGGAUCAAUGGCUCCCUUGUUGGACGAGCCACUGGUAAUUGUAACAACUGUAAACAAGGUCAAUGUAAUCCUAUAUCUAUGUAUAUGCCAGCCCCAUGGGAUCUUAUUUGGCUACAAGGAGUAAUAUAUUUCAUUAGGACAAGAAAUUAAAAAAAAAGAUCUUGAGGAAAUUCGAGACACACUUCAGGCUUUAGAAACCCAACUAGAUUCACUGGCC